UCCCUGGUGGCUCAGAGGGUAAAGCGUCUGCCUGCAAUGUAGGAGACCUGGGUUCGAUCCCUGGGUCGGGAA
This 72-nucleotide transfer RNA is filed under the name Ovis aries (sheep). It matches the Rfam family "tRNA". Rfam says of the family: Transfer RNA (tRNA) molecules are approximately 80 nucleotides in length. Their secondary structure includes four short double-helical elements and three loops (D, anti-codon, and T loops). Lineage: Eukaryota; Metazoa; Chordata; Mammalia; Artiodactyla; Bovidae. The record is from Rfam by way of RNAcentral.